UUCCAGGUAGCUUAAUGGUAAAGCACCCAACCGGCAAUUGGGGAUCUGGGUUGAAGUCCCAUCCGGGGCU
Molecule: transfer RNA, 70 nt
Filed under: Strigamia maritima
Lineage: Eukaryota; Metazoa; Arthropoda; Chilopoda; Geophilomorpha; Linotaeniidae
Rfam family: tRNA
About the family: Transfer RNA (tRNA) molecules are approximately 80 nucleotides in length.
Source: Rfam by way of RNAcentral